AUAAAAUCAAAGAACAAAAGGAGUACCUUUAUGGCACUGCUUUACAGAGAGUCGGUGAUGGUGAGAUUCCGGCAGGUAAGUAUAAAGGGAAUGGAUUUGUGAGAUGCAAAGCGAACACAGGUGGCUGUAAGUAGCGGAUGCCGUGUCCUCACGUUACAGGGGAAAGAUAUCGAAGAGAUUCCGUAUCGGAUUGAGGUUGUGCAGAGCACAAUGAAUAAAGGGUGGCACCACGAAACGUAUAUUCGUCCCUGGC
RNAcentral lists this non-coding RNA (253 nucleotides) under Roseburia sp. Its description in RNAcentral is "T-box sequence". It matches the Rfam family "T-box leader". Rfam says of the family: Uncharged tRNA acts as the effector for transcription antitermination of genes in the T-box leader family. Lineage: Bacteria; Bacillati; Bacillota; Clostridia; Lachnospirales; Lachnospiraceae. The record is from RNAcentral.